GUGGUUGCUAUAGGAUAUAAAGUACUAAAUGGUGGCCCCAUUGCCGGCAAUGCUAUUUUUAGCAAUUAUCUCCUUAAAAGGCGCUUUUAAUAAACUAAUUAUGGAAAAACUGCUGUUGUCUGAUUGAAGCUCGAUAUCUAUUUGCGAUUUUACCGCACUCAAAUAUGUAUGGUCCCAUGGCUUUUCUUGGUGAAUUUUAGGGUUUUUCACGAUACCUGACGAUUUCGCAGAAAAAUUUCCCUAACUUUGAGCAACAUAAAAAAAUAUUUCCGGCCCUUCAUACUAUACAUUUAAGGACAAAUUUGUGCUUGCAUGAAACUUCAUUCAUAAUACUUUCCAGAAGAAAAAUAUAUAAAAGAUAUAACAACCAAUCACAGAGAGCCAUCUAUUUUUAUCUCUAUGUCAUGUUCCCUUCAUAAAAUGGCUGCGCCC
This 432-nucleotide long non-coding RNA is filed under the name Mytilus galloprovincialis (Mediterranean mussel). Lineage: Eukaryota; Metazoa; Mollusca; Bivalvia; Mytilida; Mytilidae. The record is from RNAcentral.